UGAAGCGAUAGUAAGCGCCAUGUAGAUGGACUGUGGGGAUAAUAAAAAGGCCGAGCCGGUCCGCAUGCAGAAAGGUUUUCUCUACAGUAUCCCACCUAUGUUUAUGGGCUUUUAUCUUGUCGAGUAGCGAAGCAACUUCUAACCCGAUUCAGCGUGUUGCUUUCAAAACACGUAUUCAAAAGGCAUUUUCUGAGUAUGACUUUUUAUUCUAACUUUCCAACGGUAUCGCCCUCAAAAGCAUAGGUGAAGGAAGGCACCACUUUUUGAAAGCUUAAUAACAGCUUCGUCGAUUCAUCCAAGGAUCAACGUAACAGGAAUUGUUCUGUUUAUAUUUCAACGAAGAUAUAUGUUUAUGGACACCACCCAAGCGGUUGCAGCAUUCAGCGCACUUACAGGUUUAUCGCAACGAAUUUUACGAGUAAGCUUCAGUGAGGGGGUUCCUGAAGCCUGUCACAUGGUGCGUGUAGUUAUAUACAGACACCUCUAUUGACAUUGUUCAAAGAAGCUAAAACAUUGGUGCAACACUGCGUGAGUGUGGGCACAGAAACAAAUAGAAACA
Rhagoletis zephyria (snowberry fruit fly) is the source of this 559-nucleotide long non-coding RNA. RefSeq lists it as uncharacterized. The record is from RefSeq and is a predicted model, not a curated record. Lineage: Eukaryota; Metazoa; Arthropoda; Insecta; Diptera; Tephritidae.